GACGAACGCUGGCGGCGUGCCUAAUACAUGCAAGUCGAGCGGAGAGUCUCUGGUUCUUGCAGUAGCACAACUUAGCGGCGGGCGGGUGAGAAACACGUAAAGUACCUGCGUCAUAGACAUGAACACCGGUUGGAAACGCUAACUAAUGAUGGAUAACAGCACUAACUGCAGGGGGUAUGUUAAAAAGGUGGGUUUGGUAACACUACGCGAUGGAUUUGCGUUGCAUUGGCUGGUUGGUGGGGUAAGGGCCUACCAGGGCGACGAUGCAUAGCCGACCUGAGAGGGUGAUCGGCGGCCCUGGGACUGAGCCACGGCCCUGACUCCUGCGGGAGGCACCAGUAGGGAAUCUGCCGCAGUGGGCGGAAGCCUGACGGAGCAACGCCGCGUGCGUGAAGAAGGCGUUCGGUUCGUAAAGCUCUGUUGUUAGGGAAGAAUGACUGUGUAGUAACUAGACACGGUAGUGACGGUAACGAGUCAGAAAGCACCGGCUAACUACGUG
This 499-nucleotide ribosomal RNA is filed under the name uncultured bacterium. Its description in RNAcentral is "partial 16S ribosomal RNA". It matches the Rfam family "Bacterial small subunit ribosomal RNA", at positions 28 to 507 of the family's 1533-position model. The record is from RNAcentral.